UGGGAUAGCUCAGUCAGUAGAGCAUGAGACUCUUAACUCAGGGUCGUGGUUUUGAGCCCCACAUUGAGCAAAA
Molecule: transfer RNA, 73 nt
Filed under: Podarcis lilfordi (Lilford's wall lizard)
Lineage: Eukaryota; Metazoa; Chordata; Lepidosauria; Squamata; Lacertidae
Description: tRNA.Undet
Source: RNAcentral